RNAcentral lists this long non-coding RNA (3419 nucleotides) under Ananas comosus (pineapple). Its description in RNAcentral is "long non-coding RNA (ACOM_LNC027927)". Lineage: Eukaryota; Viridiplantae; Streptophyta; Magnoliopsida; Poales; Bromeliaceae. The record is from RNAcentral.
ACAUUUUCAAAUGCCACUCGAUCUAUGUCAUUGUGCCACUCUGUUCUUUUGCUCACUUUGGGUGCUCACAUUUUCUCUCAUGCAUACAUCUAGGGUUUUGACAUUAUUAGGUUCUCAACCAUCUCAUUAUGCAAGUUGUGCUCACAAUCAUGCAAUCAUCACAUUUCAUCAUUACUUUACCCUAAAAUGCAUGCAACAAUAUAUAGAACAUAUGCUCAAAGAAUGACACAUUAGGCAUAGAGAGAAUUUCAAUGAGUUUGAGAAGCACCACCCACCUUGUAGGUCUCUUUAGGUGCUCCGACGAUUUUCUCGGGAUUUUUAGAUCCUUCGUUCUUUACCUGCGGCAAAACGAAGCCAACUUAGGCCAUUUUGCCCAUAUCUUUCUAUAGACUUUUCGUAAUGCUAUUCCGAGCGCACCAACGCGUCGAAAAUACCCCCAAUUAGGUUUCUAGAGGGUCAAUUGCACUUAGAAAUCCCUAUGAGCAAAAGCCCCAAUUUGGGUGCCCUAGCUCCAAUGUAUAUCAAAACCUAGGGUUUGAUCUCAUUGGGAAGCAAAAGUUGCUUCAUUAUACUCUAAAUAGUCCAUUAGAGCCAUUCUUAGGCUUUCCAAAACCCUAGAUUAGAUUUCACCAUGAGAGGUGGUCCAAGCUCACCUCUAUAGCAAAUCUAGGUUUUGAUCUCUAAAGAAGCAAAAAGAAAGCUUCAAACUACUAGAUAUUCCACUAGAAACCAUCUCUAGGUUCAUUCAAACCCAUUUCUAGGGUUUUACUACAUUAGGGUUCAAAGCUUACUUUGUAAUCUUCCUUUUCUUGCACUAGAGAAGAAGGAGAUGGAGCCUCUUUGCUCCAAACGCUUCUUCUUCACCUUCUUUGUCUUAUUCUCCUUUCUUUUCCUUUGCCUUCUUCUUCUCCUUCUUUGUCUUCUAGAGAGAGAAAGAGAGGAGAGAGUGUGAGAGGGUGAGAAUGAGAGAAAUAUCUCUUUUACCCCAAUACUAUACUCAAUGGGUUGCCAAAAUGCAGCUAGACCCCUCAACUUUUACUCUUUCACACAGCCUGGACUGGGCUGAUCGCGCAGGCAGGGACUGGUCUCUCCUUCAGGGACCGGUUCCCGAACGUCGUCCCAGCGCAGCCAGAGCUGCUGCGCGCAGUGCAACCGGUCUCUCUUUGGGGGACCGGUCCCUCGGGGACCGGUCUCUCAGGCAGGGACCGGUUCCCGAGAGCUAAUUUUUCAGGACUUAGCCGAUUUUUCGGCUGUCUCGUUUCAUACGCGUUCGGGGACCGGUCUCUCCCACCAGGGACCGGUCCCCGAGAGCUCAAAAUCUGCAGUUUUGCAGAUUUGAUUCUAUAGCUCUCGAAAACCUCCCGUAACUCACUUUUACUCAUUUUAACACCUUUAGACUUUCCGAAGUGUACCAUCCUCGCACUUUGGUCAAUUUGACUAAAGUUCGACAUUUUUAUUUUCCGAAUUUUCGGUAUAUUACAGUUUGAUUCUAAUAACAAGUUUCUAACGAUCAACAAUCGACUUGAUUCUUUAUUUUUACUCGAGAAAUCAUACGAGAAUCAAGUAGAUGUUUGAUUAAAGGUAGAUCCUCAUAGCUUAUGGGAUUCUAAAGCUUAAUCACCACAAAUCUUCAAUUCUACAAGCUCCGGAAGGAGAUUCGACGUGUGGAGUUCGCGUGUAGCCGACGAUUCGGUGGACGCUUCAAGGAGUUGAGGCGUUGACGCUGCGAGGAGUUGCAGUGAGAUCGAUUGGAGGAUUCUUAUCGAUCGAGGACCGGCGAAGAUCAUCAUCUACGGGAAAUCGGUAAAUUGAGUCGUGUGUUUUGGUCAAAAUCACCUGUACUCAUGUUUUCUUAGUGGAUUUUCUUUGCGUGAUUGGUCCCGUGGGUUUUUCACUCCGAUUUGGAGUUUUCCCACGUUAAAUUCUCGGUGUGCUGUUUUCUUUUCCGCUAUUUCGUUUUAUUCGCAUCGAGAUUUUUGGGUUUGCCGUUUUUACACCUAUUCACCCCCCUCUAGGUGUUACUUACCUUUUAGAUCCUCGGGAUCCAUAUCUCACAAGAUGAUGAACAUUCGUCAAAAACAGUUCCUAAGCUUUAUGAUAAGUUCGUCCCUCCUAAAAACAAUUUGACUAACAAAACUUGUCAUAUUUGUGGUGUUUUAGGACACAUAAAGAAAUUCUGCCAACAAAAGGGAAAGAGCUCAACAACACUCUUGAACCAAAGAACAUCACCCAUGAAGAAUGAUCCUAUAUCAAAAGGAAAGUCAACUUGGACUCCAAAGAAGGUUGAUCAUAAGAAGAAACAAACAUGGACUACAAAUGCGCCGAAAUCAAAGGCAAAAUAAGUAUGGAAACCAAAGAAGGAGGAUAUGAAGAAGAAGUCAAUUCAAAUCGUCGACAAGCCAACAUCAACAAAAGCAAGCAAACUGUCGGAACCCAAAACACGUAAGGUUUGGGUGCGCAAAGGUGAACUCUUCCCAUGCCUAGUCAUUCAUACUUCACUUCAUGCUUACGAUAAUACUUCAUGGUAUCUGGAUAGUGGUUGUUCCCGUCACAUGAUCGGAGAUAAAAAUUGGUUUACUUCUUUGAACAAAAUCUCCGAGAAACUUGUUGUUUUUGGAGACGGUCGGUCGUCAAAAAUCGUUGAAAAAUGAACAGUGACUAUCUCAGAUGGCCCUACUUUGAAUGAUGUUUUUAUGUUGAGGGGCUUAAAUGUAAUAUCGUAAGCAUAAACCAACUGUGCGAUGAUGGGUAUUCUGUGAAUUUUUUCGAUAAAGAAUGCCAUGUGACUCGUGAUGACAAUCUUUUCUUAAAAGGCGUUAGAUCUCUGAAUAACUGUUAUGUAGUUCCUAGUUCUUCGACUGAACAUUGUAACCUAGCGUCAUUAGAGACUGAAACUUUAUGGCAUGAACGACUAGGUCACAUAAAUUUUAAGGAGCUAUCAAAGAUAACAAAGAAGGAGGUUGCUAGAGGUGUACCUAAGAUAGACUUCAAAGAGAAUACUGUGUGCGGGGGUUGCCAAUUGGGGAAACAAACUAGAUCCGCACAUAAGAAUUUGAACCACUUAGGGACAUCUAAACCGUUAGAGUUACUUCACAUGGACUUGAUGGGACCAUCUAGGAUUCAAAGUUUGGGGGAAAAAUGAUAUAUCUUGCUUAUUGUUGAUGAUUUUACUCGUUUUGUAUGGAGUGCCUUCUUACGAGAAAAAGCUGAUACUUUUGAUUCCUUUUCUGAAAUCUGUUUUCGUCUUAUGACUGAACGGAAUGAUAAAAUUGUACGUAUUCGAAGUGAUCAAGGGGGAGAAUUCAUAAAUUCAAAAUUUGUUGAUUUUUGUGUUUCAAAUGGCAUAAAACAUGAAUUCUCGGCUCCUUAUACACCCUAACAAAACGGAGUGGUUGAAUGCAAGAAUCGGGUUGUACAGG